AGAGGGGCUUCCGGAAUUCGGUUUUCGGGGGCCUUUUUCUUUUGC
Molecule: non-coding RNA, 45 nt
Filed under: Devosia psychrophila
Lineage: Bacteria; Pseudomonadati; Pseudomonadota; Alphaproteobacteria; Hyphomicrobiales; Devosiaceae
Source: RNAcentral